GUCAAAUCAUCAUGCCCUUUAUGACCUGGGCUACACACGUAAUACAAUGGCGCUCUAACAGAGGGAAGCUAAGGGGCGACCUGGAGCAAAACCCCAAAAAGCGCCUCAGUUCGGAUCGCAGGCUGCAACUCGCCUGCGUGAAGUCGGAAUUGCUAGUAAUCGCGGAUCAUCAUGCCGCGGUGAAUACGUUCCCGGGCCUU
RNAcentral lists this ribosomal RNA (200 nucleotides) under uncultured prokaryote. Its description in RNAcentral is "partial 16S ribosomal RNA". It matches the Rfam family "Bacterial small subunit ribosomal RNA", at positions 1184 to 1382 of the family's 1533-position model. The record is from RNAcentral.